AGAGUUUGAUCCUGGCUCAGAAUCAACGCUGGCGGCGUGCCUAACACAUGCAAGUCGAGCGAGAAAAGGGUAGCAAUAUCCUGAGUAAAGCGGCGCACGGGUGAGUAACACGUGGGUAAUCUGCCCUGGAGUGGGGAAUAACACCGGGAAACCGGUGCUAAUACCGCAUACGAUCGCGAUGUCUGCGGACGUUGUGAUGAAAGGAGCAAUUCGCUCCAGGAGGAGCCCGCGGCUGAUUAGCUAGUUGGUGAGGUAAUGGCUCACCAAGGCUACGAUCAGUAUCCGGUCUGAGAGGACGGUCGGACACACUGGAACUGAGACACGGUCCAGACUCCUACGGGAGGCAGCAGUGGGGAAUUUUUGGCAAUGGGGGCAACCCUGACCAAGCAACGCCGCGUGGGUGAUGAAGUCUCUUGGGACGUAAAACCCUUUCGACGGGGAAGAAACCGCAAGGUUGACGGUACCCGUAGAAGAAGCCCCGGCUAACUCCGUGCCAGCAGCCGCGGUAAUACGGGGGGGGCAAGCGUUGUUCGGAAUUACUGGGCGUAAAGGGUGCGUAGGCGGUGCUCUAAGUCGGAUGUGAAAACUCUGGGCUCAACCCAGAGCCUGCAUCCGAAACUGGAGUGCUAGAGUUCUGGAGGGGGUAGCGGAAUUCCUGGUGUAGCGGUGAAAUGCGUAGAUAUCAGGAGGAACACCGGUGGCGAAGGCGGCUACCUGGACAGAAACUGACGCUGAGGCACGAAAGCUAGGGGAGCAAACAGGAUUAGAUACCCUAGUAGUCC
RNAcentral lists this ribosomal RNA (782 nucleotides) under uncultured bacterium. Its description in RNAcentral is "bacterial SSU rRNA". It matches the Rfam family "Bacterial small subunit ribosomal RNA", at positions 8 to 796 of the family's 1533-position model. The record is from RNAcentral.